CUGUCCACAAAGCGGCAGUGUUGCUCUGCAGAAGCUCUCUGAGAGUGAGGCUCAGCCAUUGCACUCCGACUGUGCUGACCCCUGCCAAUUCCCCAAAUGUGGGAAUCUCGACUGCAUAAUUUCUGGUAGUGGGGGAUUGCGUUCGCGCUCUCCCCUG
Toxotes jaculatrix (banded archerfish) is the source of this 157-nucleotide small nuclear RNA. RefSeq annotates it as U1 spliceosomal RNA. The record is from RefSeq and is a predicted model, not a curated record. Lineage: Eukaryota; Metazoa; Chordata; Actinopteri; Toxotidae. The transcript has a single exon.